RNAcentral lists this ribosomal RNA (274 nucleotides) under uncultured bacterium. Its description in RNAcentral is "partial 16S ribosomal RNA". It matches the Rfam family "Bacterial small subunit ribosomal RNA", at positions 523 to 796 of the family's 1533-position model. The record is from RNAcentral.
AUACGGAGGGGGCGAGCGUUGUUCGGAUUUACUGGGCGUAAAGCGCGCGUAGGCGGCUCUGUCAGUCGGAUGAGAAAGCCCCGGGCUUAACCUGGGAAUUGCAUUCGAUACUGCAGAGCUAGAGUAUGGUAGAGGGAAGUGGAAUUUCCGGUGUAGCGGUGAAAUGCGUAGAUAUCGGAAGGAACACCAGUGGCGAAGGCGACUUCCUGGGCCAAUACUGACGCUGAGGUGCGAAAGCGUGGGGAGCAAACAGGAUUAGAUACCCCGGUAGUCC